RNAcentral lists this ribosomal RNA (454 nucleotides) under uncultured bacterium. RNAcentral describes it as "bacterial SSU rRNA". It matches the Rfam family "Bacterial small subunit ribosomal RNA", at positions 340 to 786 of the family's 1533-position model. The record is from RNAcentral.
UACGGAAGGCAGCAGUGGGGAAUAUUGCACAAUGGGCGCAAGCCUGAUGCAGCCAUGCCGCGUGUAUGAAGAAGGCCUUCGGGUUGUAAAGUACUUUCAGUCGUGAGGAAGGUGUUAAGGUUAAUAACCUUAGCAAUUGACGUUAGCGACAGAAGAAGCACCGGCUAACUCCGUGCCAGCAGCCGCGGUAAUACGGAGGGUGCGAGCGUUAAUCGGAAUUACUGGGCGUAAAGGGCACGCAGGCGGUUAAUUAAGUUGGAUGUGAAAUCCCCGGGCUUAACCUGGGAAUGGCAUUCAAGACUGGUUAGCUAGAGUCCUGUAGAGGGGGUAGAAUUCCGAUGUGUAGCGGUGAAAUGCGUAGAGAUGUGGAGGAAUACCGGUGGCGAAGGCGGCCCCUGGACAAAGACUGACGCUCAUGUGCGAAAGCGUGGGGAGCAAACAGGGAUUAGAUACC